RNAcentral lists this transfer RNA (73 nucleotides) under Pleomorphochaeta naphthae. RNAcentral describes it as "tRNA-Lys". It matches the Rfam family "tRNA". Rfam says of the family: Transfer RNA (tRNA) molecules are approximately 80 nucleotides in length. RNAcentral also lists the same sequence under 4 other names. Lineage: Bacteria; Pseudomonadati; Spirochaetota; Spirochaetia; Spirochaetales; Sphaerochaetaceae. The record is from RNAcentral.
GGGCUGCUAGCUCAGUUGGUAGAGCAACGCCCUUUUAAGGCGUGGGUCAAAGGUUCAAAUCCUUUGCAGCUCA